Molecule: ribosomal RNA, 484 nt
Filed under: uncultured bacterium
Lineage: Bacteria
Description: partial 16S ribosomal RNA
Rfam family: Bacterial small subunit ribosomal RNA
Source: RNAcentral
AUUGAACGCUGGCGGCAUGCUUUACACAUGCAAGUCGAACGGCAGCGCGGGCUUCGGCCUGGCGGCGAGUGGCGAACGGGUGAGUAAUGCAUCGGAACGUGCCCAGUAGUGGGGGAUAGCCCGGCGAAAGCCGGAUUAAUACCGCAUACGACCUGAGGGUGAAAGCGGGGGACCGAAAGGCCUCGCGCUAUUGGAGCGGCCGAUGUCGGAUUAGCUAGUUGGUGGGGUAAAGGCUUACCAAGGCGACGAUCCGUAGCUGGUCUGAGAGGACGACCAGCCACACUGGAACUGAGACACGGCCCAGACUCCUACGGGAGGCAGCAGUGGGGAAUUUUGGACAAUGGGGGCAACCCUGAUCCAGCCAUGCCGCGUGCGGGAAGAAGGCCUUCGGGUUGUAAACCGCUUUUGUUCGGGAAGAAGUCCAGUGGGCUAAUACCCCGGGGGGAUGACGGUACCGGAAGAAUAAGCACCGGCUAACUACGUG